This is a long non-coding RNA of Panthera uncia (snow leopard), 589 nucleotides long. RefSeq lists it as uncharacterized. The record is from RefSeq and is a predicted model, not a curated record. The transcript is spliced from 3 exons. NCBI's taxonomy places the organism in Eukaryota, Metazoa, Chordata, Mammalia, Carnivora, Felidae.
AGUUCGCUUUAUUUUGAAGAAAAAAAGAAAAAAAAAAAAGAGAGAGAGACAGAGAAAGAAAAAAGUGUUAAAAAUUUCGUGCGUUUUAAACGAAUGAGCACAAUUUCUAGAGCCUGCUUUUCAACAUAGAUUAUGUUUGAUCUUUUCUUUCGUGUGUGCAUUUUCAGCCACGAUGGUUUGCUAAAGCUCAGAAUAUCCAAAACUGAACUUCAUAUCUCUGUCUACUUUUUUGUUGUUUACAGCACCAGCUAGAUCAAAAUAGCGGCUUUUAUUUCACAUUCCUCAAUACACAGUUCAUCGAAGUAUCCUCAGGAUCUGCAUGUGGAGUAUAGAUACCAAGUGUAAUCAAGGACAACUCCAAGGUUCUUAGUCCAAGAACUGGAAGGUCAAAGCUGAUAUUUACUGAAAUGGAGAACUCUGCAAGAGCAGGUUUGGGAGCAAGGAAGCCUUGAAAUUCAGUUCUGGGUAUACAAAUUUGAGUUGCUAUAUCAGGCUCUUUAGAGCUGAAGGAGCAGAGAUGGUUCUGAUUUUAGAACAGAGGGAAGAAAGAGCACAGUGGAGCCGCAUCAUGGCCCUUAAGGCUUCUUCU